AUUGAACGCUGGCGGCAGGCCUAACACAUGCAAGUCGAGCGGAUGAAGGGAGCUUGCUCCUGGAUUCAGCGGCGGACGGGUGAGUAAUGCCUAGGAAUCUGCCUGGUAGGGGGGGAUAACGUCCGGAAACGGGCGCUAAUACCGCAUGCGUCCUGAGGGAGAAAGUGGGGGAUCUUCGGACCUCACGCUAUCAGAUGAGCCUAGGUCGGAUUAGCUAGUUGGUGGGGUAAAGGCCUACCAAGGCGACGAUCCGUAACUGGUCUGAGAGGAUGAUCAGGCACACUGGAACUGAGACACGGUACAGACUCCUACGGGAGGCAGCAGUGGGGAAUAUUGGACACAGGGCGAAAGCCUGAUCCAGCCAUGGCGGGUGUGUGAAGAAGGUCUUCGGAUUGGAAAGCACUUUAAGUUGGGAGGAAGGGCAGUAAGUUAAUACCUUGCUGUGUUGACGUUACCAACAGAAUAGGCACCGGCUAACUUGGUG
This 484-nucleotide ribosomal RNA is filed under the name uncultured bacterium. Its description in RNAcentral is "partial 16S ribosomal RNA". It matches the Rfam family "Bacterial small subunit ribosomal RNA", at positions 30 to 507 of the family's 1533-position model. The record is from RNAcentral.